CCUACGGGAGGCAGCAGUGGGGAAUUUUGGACAAUGGGGGCAACCCUGAUCCAGCCAUGCCGCGUGAGUGAAGAAGGCCUUCGGGUUGUAAAGCUCUUUCGGCCGGGAAGAAAUCGCUUCGGCUAAUACCUGGAGUGGAUGACGGUACCGGAAGAAGAAGCACCGGCUAACUACGUGCCAGCAGCCGCGGUAAU
Molecule: ribosomal RNA, 194 nt
Filed under: uncultured bacterium
Lineage: Bacteria
Description: partial 16S ribosomal RNA
Rfam family: Bacterial small subunit ribosomal RNA
Source: RNAcentral